GGGAGAACCUAGGGGCACUUAACUACUGAGCCACACCCCAGCCUCCCCCUUUUAAAAAUAAGGUGACUUUUUUUAAUAUUUAUUUUUUAGUUGUAGUUGGACACAAUAUCUUUAUUUUAUUUAUUUUUAUGUGGUGCUGAGGAUCGAACCCAGGGUCUCACACAUGCUAGGCAAGUGCUCUGCCACUGAGCCACAACUCCAGCACCACCACCCCAGCCCUUUUUAAUAUUUUAUUUUGAGACAGGGUCUUGCUAAGUUGCUUAGGGCGUCACUAAGUUGCUGAGGCUGGCCUUGAACUUGCAAUCAUCCUGCUUCAGUCUCCUGAGUUGCUGGAAUUAUAUGCAUGCUCUGUGCCAAGUACUAGUACUUUUCAUUGCCAUGUGUUUGCAAUUUUUAGAAAAGUUUAGUUUAUGAAUGACCUUGACAGAGCAGUAAAAAGUAUCAAUUUUAUUAACUCUUAACCUAUAAGAUGUAUACACCUUUGUUAUUUUAAUAUUUUGAGUGACAAAAGGAGAAGUAUGCACUUCUGUUUACCAAAGGAGGAUGGUGGGCUCCAGGAAAAGUGCCUCUGUGAUUGGCUGAGAUGUCACCUGAACUGUCUGCUUUUUUCUUUUCUUUUGGUACCAAAUAUGGUGCUUUACCACUGAGCUAUGUCCCCAGCCCUUUUCAUUUUUUAUUUUCAGAUGGGGCCUUGCUAAGUUGCUGAGGCUGGCUUUGAACUCACAGUCCUCUUGUAUCAGUCUCCUGAGCCAUUGGGAUUACAGACAUGUACCACUACACCCAGUGUAUGGCUGCUUUUUUAAAAAAUAUUUUUUAGUUUUAGGUGGACACAAUAUCUUUAUUUUUAUGUGGUGCUGAGAAUCGAACCCAGUGCCUUAUGCAUGCUAGGCCAGCGCGCUACCACUUGAGCCACAUCCCCAGCCCUAUGGCUGCUUUUUUGAAAGAAUACCAUUAUCAUUUUUAUCUGAAAGACUGACAAAAUAUGGUAAUUCAGAUAUAUUUUCAGAUAGUUAGCAGAUAUUUUCUCAACAAUGAAUGAAGUAUGCCUGUCACUCCAUGUGAAAGAACAGGUAGUACUGGGUGCCAAUAACAAAAAUCUGAGCUUUCAAGCAAAAGUCAAAACUUUGGAACACUGUAUCCAUCACUGUGAACUUGACAAGCUUCCCAAUACUAAAAGACUUUGUGAUUAGUAGUGAUAUUAACAUGUGAUUUUUCAAUAUUGUAUAAUGAAAUGUGUCAAAAUUUGUAAGAUUUGCACAAAUGUAUCAUGUUAUAAAAUCAUGCACACAUAAAAGAUUCAUACAAAGUAUAGACAGAUAAUUGUUUUGUGGUUGUUUUGUUUGAUCAAACCCAGGGCCUCAAACAUGCUAGGCAAGCUCUCUACUAUUGAAGUACAUCUACAGUCCCAAGAUGAUAGUUGGUUUUGUUGUUGUUGUUGUUUUUAUUUUUUUAAGUAUUUUUUAGUUGUAGUUGACACAAUACCUUUAUUUUAUUUUAUGUGGUGCUGAGGAUUGAACCCAGGUCCUUGCACCUGCUAGGCAAGCACUUACCACUUAGCCACAACCCCAGCCCCCCAAGAUGAUAGGUUUUAAUGUCAGAUAAUAUAAAUGUCAUUGGUUUCCUUUUAUUUUAAUUUUAGUUUAGUUUUUGCAGUAAUGGGGAUUGAACUCAGAGGUACUUGACCACUGAGCUCCAUCUCCAGCCCUUUUUAUGUUUUAUUUUGAGACAGGGU
This 1732-nucleotide long non-coding RNA is filed under the name Marmota monax (woodchuck). The record is from RNAcentral. Lineage: Eukaryota; Metazoa; Chordata; Mammalia; Rodentia; Sciuridae.